UACGGGGGAUGCAAGCGUUAUCCGGAAUCAUUGGGCGUAAAGCGCCUGUAGGUUGUUUAAUAAGUCUGUUGUUAAAGACUAGGGCUUAACCCUAGAAAAGCAAUGGAAACUACUAGACUAGAGUAUGGUAGGGGUAGAGGGAAUUUCUAGUGUAGCGGUGAAAUGCGUAGAUAUUAGAAAGAACACCAGCGGCGAAAGCGCUCUACUGGACCAUCACUGACACUCAGAGGCGAAAGCUAGGGUAGCAAAAGGGAUUAGAUACCCCUGUAGUCCUAGCCGUAAACGAUGGAUACUAGAUGUUGUAUAUAAUUUACAGUAUCGUAGCUAACGCGUUAAGUAUCCCGCCUGGGGAGUACGCUCGCAAGGGUG
This 369-nucleotide ribosomal RNA is filed under the name uncultured phototrophic eukaryote. RNAcentral describes it as "SSU rRNA". It matches the Rfam family "Bacterial small subunit ribosomal RNA", at positions 524 to 896 of the family's 1533-position model. The record is from RNAcentral.